Lolium rigidum is the source of this 705-nucleotide long non-coding RNA. RefSeq lists it as uncharacterized. The record is from RefSeq and is a predicted model, not a curated record. NCBI's taxonomy places the organism in Eukaryota, Viridiplantae, Streptophyta, Magnoliopsida, Poales, Poaceae. The transcript has 3 exons.
AAUAUCAGCCAACUCGACAAAGACUUCUCCAGCAACAAGUAGAACCAUCGCCACUUACGUGCAGUCAUCGAUCGAGAUUUCGAGAACAAGGCUAGCAAAAAGUGUGCCCCUCCUUGCAGCGAGAUUUCGAGCGCUGGUGCCGUGAAUUUCGCGGCGAUUAUUGUGAUGAUGGGGCUCGAUAACUCUAGCCUGGAAAGAGAAAGGAAAGAAGAGAAGGGACCCCAAGCAGAAACCAUGACGAGCCAGGAGGCGGACGAGUGCCGUGAGCGGCUCUUCAAGGCCCUUAUGGCUUGCACGAACAGCGGUGACAUGGAAAGCUUCAACUGCCAAGUCUACUUCGAAUUGCUUAACAAGUGUCGGGAUGCUAAAUAAGGAUAUGUUCGAGCUUGGUAUUUCUCCAUGUUCGAGCUUAGCGCUAAUCAUUGGAGUAAAUCUGAAAACAAGAUGCGCAGCAAGAAGAGAUGUAUAGAACAUCGGAUUGUCAACGAGUCAUUUUUAUUAGUAGCACUUCAGAUUAGACCAAUAAAAAGUGGAAGUUUUCAUAAUAUUAGGCUUUGGUUCUAUGUCAUGCAUGCUUGGCGGUAUUAGUUUGCGUCCUUGUACACCCGGGAACUUUUUCCCCCGCUUUUGUAUCAGCAUUUGUGGGAUAUUCCAAGCUCCUGCCGAUGAAGAUGUAUGUAGGAUCAGACAUGUGACGGUGGAGAC